Long non-coding RNA from Bos grunniens (domestic yak), 1690 nucleotides. Lineage: Eukaryota; Metazoa; Chordata; Mammalia; Artiodactyla; Bovidae. The record is from Ensembl.
AUGGGGCAAGAGGCGCAGGCGACCUCCACAACUCCUGCAGGACCGUUAAGGCCGAGGCCCACUCGGCCUCUCAUGCCACCACCAGCCGGACACGUCCUACUCGGCCCCAGAUGCCGCCUCCAUCCCCCGAUGCCCAGGUUAGGAACCCAGGCUCACCAACCGACUUAUCCUCCUCCUCACUGUCCCCUCUGCACCACCACUCGGCUCCCGAGUUCCCUGCCACCACCAGCCGGACACGUCCUACUCGGCCCCAGAUGCCGCCUCCAUCCCCCGAUGCCCAGGUUAGGAACCCAGGCUCACCAACCGACUUAUCCUCCUCCUCACUGUCCCCUCUGCACCACCACUCGGCUCCCGAGUUCCCUAAAACCUCAGCGGGCUCCGCGGAAUCUUUCCAGCACACCUAACAUGGCGGCCUUGUCCACUUCGCUCUCUUCGCCCGCUGCGGGCGCGUCCGACCAUGGCGCAUUUUGGGCAUUGUAGUUCCGGGGGAUAGCCCGGCUGUUCCGCCGGGCCUUGAGGAAACUACAAUUCCCAGAACGCACCGCUCCUGAGCAUGGCUAUUGGGGCCUUUUGGACAGUGGGAUGAUGUCAUUGCAAAAACCCCACUGCAUUCAUUGUGCUACGAUCUAUCCACCCCCCUGCUGCUGCUAGGCUUGCGAUUGCCGCUCGCUCCAGCUGAGCUAAGCGUAGCAGCAGCACCAGGGCAAGGACUGACUUCAGCCCUUGGACUUAGGACAUCGCAACACCCUCCAUUGCUUGCGUGACUCAUUCGCACAUCCUUUCUGUUUAUGCCUGGGGUGGGGAGAAAAAUCCCAAACCAGGUGAGUUGAAGUGAUUUAUUCAAAUGAUUCUACCAAGUUAUUCCUCCCUUAGUUCUCAAGGCUUUCUUUUGGGAAGAUGGGGGCGGGAGGAUUGGGAAGGUUGCUCGCAAGCGCUGCUAAGCGAAAAGCUCUCUGCAAUUUGGGUCACUGCAAAGAACAACUCCAGCAGCCUUCCCCCGCCAGAGGACGGAUGCUUGCCAAUUCCCUAGUCGCAACUCCCCUCAACCUUUUUGAAGACUGGGAGAGGGAGCUGGGUUGGGGAGGAUGUUGGGAAGUGCUCUUGGAAAAUAAUCAGAGGAAGGCAGUGGUGGGAGACUGCAGUCCUGUCACAUACGGCCCGAGUGCUGAGAUUUGAGUGGGAAGGGGUGAUGCGUGGGGAGAAAUGGAGACAGUGAUUUCAUGUGGUCGCACUACUUUGGAACAUUUCGUGUCACUUGGGCGAGCACACACUAUUCAUUUUUAAGAUGAGCGUGCUUCUGAGUAGGUUAAGUUUUGUGGGUCUUUAUUUUGUGUGUGUGUGUGUCUACGUCGUUUGUCUCGCCUUUUCUGCCAAUUUGAGGUGACAGUGUCCUUUAAUGGUGCACUCCGUGCCAGUCAGAAACAUUUCACGUGUCUGGGCAAGGUUCUCUGAGGCUGCUGGAAGCAACAUUUUCGUUGAGUGUUUUUCCUCUCCCAACUGCAAGGUUUCAGGAUUGUUUGGAUGUGGAGCCGACAGAUUUGUACUUGUGCGAAUGUUUUAAAUUACAUUCCAAUAGGCUUCUUGCCACUGACAGUGGUACCGUAAUGAGCUGUCCUUUCCUGAGGCAGUCACCAGUCACAAAUAACGGUUUGGAGAAUGGAUCAUUAGGGUUCAUUUUAACGCAUUAGGG